Molecule: ribosomal RNA, 911 nt
Filed under: uncultured bacterium
Lineage: Bacteria
Description: bacterial SSU rRNA
Rfam family: Bacterial small subunit ribosomal RNA
Source: RNAcentral
AGAGUUUGAUCCUGGCUCAGGACGAACGCUGGCGGCGUGCCUAACACAUGCAAGUCGAACGGAACUGUUUUGAAAGAUUUCUUCGGAAUGAAUUUGAUUUAGUUUAGUGGCGGACGGGUGAGUAACGCGUGAGUAACCUGCCUUCAAGAGGGGGAUAACAUUCUGAAAAGAAUGCUAAUACCGCAUGACAUAUCGGAACCACAUGGUUCUGAUAUCAAAGAUUUUAUCGCUUGAAGAUGGACUCGCGUCCGAUUAGUUAGUUGGUGAGGUAACGGCUCACCAAGACCGCGAUCGGUAGCCGGACUGAGAGGUUGAACGGCCACAUUGGGACUGAGACACGGCCCAGACUCCUACGGGAGGCAGCAGUGGGGGAUAUUGCGCAAUGGGGGCAACCCUGACGCAGCAACGCCGCGUGAAGGAUGAAGGUUUUCGGAUUGUAAACUUCUUUUAUUAAGGACGAAAAAUGACGGUACUUAAUGAAUAAGCUCCGGCUAACUACGUGCCAGCAGCCGCGGUAAUACGUAGGGAGCAAGCGUUGUCCGGAUUUACUGGGUGUAAAGGGUGCGUAGGCGGCUUUGCAAGUCAGAUGUGAAAUCUAUGGGCUCAACCCAUAAACUGCAUUUGAAACUGUAGAGCUUGAGUGAAGUAGAGGCAAGCGGAAUUCCGAGUGUAGCGGUGAAAUGCGUAGAUAUUCGGAGGAACACCAGUGGCGAAGGCGGCUUGCUGGGCUUUAACUGACGCUGAGGCUCGAAAGUGUGGGGAGCAAACAGGAUUAGAUACCCUGGUAGUCCACACUGUAAACGAUGAUAGCUAGGUGUGGGGGGUCUGACCCCUUCCGUGCCGGAGUUAACGCAAUAAGCUAUCCACCUGGGGAGUACGACCGCAAGGUUGAAACUCAAAUGAAUUGACGG